AUUCCAUCUCAGUUGGAGCAAGUCUGUGUGCGUUAGUGUCCUUUCUGACUUCCCGUGUGGACUGCUCUCUGUCCGGCCAGUGGAAUAUGCCACGGGCAAAAAUACUGACAACCAUUCAACACAAAAGGAGCAGUAUUAGUGUAUUAGUCAGCUAAGGACCACUGUGACAAAAAACCCGAGUACUGCUUUACCACAUUGGAAAUAUUGAAAAGCUGGAGGAGCUCCAUCACACUGGCUUCAUGACUUUAACAGUAGGCUGUGACCCUCAGUGAGGACAACUCUGCUCUGCCUUCAAAGACAGCAGGACUGAGCACCCGAGCUAAGCACUUCUGACCUCCCUACUCUUCUCACAGCAAUGGUGACUUAAACGAAUAAUCUCAGAAGUGACCCCUCCAUGGAAUGCGUGUGGGGACCCACACCUCCACAGGCUUCAGGGACAUUUACGUUAAGAAGCUGAAAACGCUCUGCAUAAAACAGUACCCCCCACCUCUGGUUUUUCUUUGUACAGUUUGUUACAGAGAGGCAACUGUGGUUGGAAAAUAUUAAAUGGAAAAUUAUAGGAACAAAGAAUUUACAAUUUUUAAGUAACUUUCACCACAGAAAACUAUUAUAUAUUGCUCUUAUUUUUAAACUUCUUGCUAGGCCCAAUUUAUAAACUAAACUUUAUUAUCGUUAUACACGUUUAGGAAAACCACUAUACUUAGGUUCAGUACUAUCCCCUGGGGUUCUUUGAAUGUAUCUCCUGCAGAUACAUUCUGCAAGAGAAUAGAAUGCAAUUCUAUUUUAUUAAAAUAGAAAAGAAUGCAAUUACCAUAAUAUUAGCUGGAGGUUCAAGAAGUGAAAACUUAAAACACCAAUCAAAAUAUUAAGUGAAAACUUAAACACCAAUCAAAAUAUUUACUAUAUCUUUA
This is a long non-coding RNA of Chinchilla lanigera (long-tailed chinchilla), 911 nucleotides long. RefSeq lists it as uncharacterized. Lineage: Eukaryota; Metazoa; Chordata; Mammalia; Rodentia; Chinchillidae. The transcript has 3 exons. The record is from RefSeq and is a predicted model, not a curated record.